Long non-coding RNA from Wyeomyia smithii (pitcher-plant mosquito), 654 nucleotides. RefSeq lists it as uncharacterized. The transcript is spliced from 3 exons. The record is from RefSeq and is a predicted model, not a curated record. NCBI's taxonomy places the organism in Eukaryota, Metazoa, Arthropoda, Insecta, Diptera, Culicidae.
AAACAGUGAAGCUACUCCGUUCAUAAGUGUGCGAGUUUAAAGAACGAUACCCCGCCACGUCGAAAACGGACAUCGUCCAGCACUUUGUGGAUGCCCAUUCCGUCAUCUACAGCAUCUUGAAAACCAUUCAGCAGAGCAUUGAAAGAAAGUUCGGUUCCAGACGGCCGACGAUCCUGAGCGACAAGAAGCCCCAAAAGAUGCCGAAGAAGAAGACCUAGGUUGUCUUGGUAGCCAGCACCUAGCGAUCUCCUACAUCUUUCGACCUCUCCACCCCUCGCUCGCUGCUGUCCCUCGUAACACAGCAUUCUCACAACCUGAACGGCGAACUUUCCCUCGACUCUGCUCACGACUGAAAAAGCUGGAUCCCGUCCCGUGCGAAGCAAGGGCGGCAAAGGAUAAACGAAGCAUAGGAAACCUGAGCUUCUUCGUCCCUUUUCCGCAUUGGAACCACAUCUCGCAGGAGUAUUUUUUUCCCUUCGCUACGAACAUAAAAUUUCGCCCCGUUUCACGACGAUCUCAACGAAAGACCGAAUGAGGCACACACAAACACACACACACCAGCCCAGCUUCCUUCGCUUUACCAGCCCAGCCUAUCAAGGACGACGGCGACGACGACGGCGCCGAUGACGACGACUCACACAGCAUCAGCUUAGC